RNAcentral lists this ribosomal RNA (497 nucleotides) under uncultured bacterium. Its description in RNAcentral is "partial 16S ribosomal RNA". It matches the Rfam family "Bacterial small subunit ribosomal RNA", at positions 28 to 507 of the family's 1533-position model. The record is from RNAcentral.
GAUGAACGCUGGCGGCGUGCCUAAUACAUGCAAGUCGAGCGAACAGACGAGGAGCUUGCUCCUCUAACGUUAGCGGCGGACGGGUGAGUAACACGUGGAUAACCUACCUAUAAGACUGGGAUAACUUCGGGAAACCGGAGCUAAUACCGGAUAAUAUAUUGAACCGCAUGGUUCAAUAGUGAAAGACGGUUUUGCUGUCACUUAUAGAUGGAUCCGCGCCGCAUUAGCUAGUUGGUAAGGUAACAGCUUACCAAGGCAACGAUGCGUAGCCGACCUGAGAGGGUGAUCGGCCACACGGGAACUGAGACACGGUCCAGGCUCCUACGGGAGGCAGCAGUAGGGAAUCUUCCGCAAUGGGCGAAAGCCUGACGGAGCAACGCCGCGUGAGUGAUGAAGGUCUUCGGAUCGUAAAACUCUGUUAUUAGGGAAGAACAAAUGUGUAAGUAACUAUGCACGUCUUGACGGUACCUAAUCAGAAAGCCACGGCUAACUACGUG